Molecule: ribosomal RNA, 262 nt
Filed under: uncultured bacterium
Lineage: Bacteria
Description: partial 16S ribosomal RNA
Rfam family: Bacterial small subunit ribosomal RNA
Source: RNAcentral
GUCCACGCAGUAAACGAUGAGCGCUAGUUGUCGGGGUCUUAGACUCCGGUGGUGAAGCUAACGCGUUAAGCGCUCCGCCUGGGGAGUACGGCCGCAAGGCUAAAACUCAAAGGAAUUGACGGGGACCCGCACAAGCAGUGGAGCAUGUGGUUUAAUUCGAUGCUACGCGAAAAACCUUACCAACCCUUGAAUCUGGUUGACCGGUGCAGAAAUGCAUCUUUGGAGCAAUCCACAGCCAAGACAGGUGUUGCAUGGCUGUCGU